RNAcentral lists this ribosomal RNA (327 nucleotides) under uncultured Acidobacteriota bacterium. RNAcentral's name for it is "bacterial SSU rRNA". It matches the Rfam family "Bacterial small subunit ribosomal RNA", at positions 32 to 351 of the family's 1533-position model. The record is from RNAcentral. Lineage: Bacteria; Pseudomonadati; Acidobacteriota.
AAUCAACGCUGGCGGCGUGCCUAACACAUGCAAGUCGAACGAGAAAACGGGGGCAACUCCGUAAGUAAAGUGGCAGACGGGUGAGUAACACGUGAACAACCUACCCUUGAGUGUGGGAUAACCCCGCGAAAGCGGGGCUAAUACCGCAUAACAUCCCUUGGUUGCAUGACUGGGGGAUCAAAAGCGAAAGUUGCUUGAGGAGGGGUUCGCGGCUGAUUAGCUAGUUGGUGAGGUAACGGCCCACCAAGGCAACGAUCAGUAGCCGGCCUGAGAGGGCGAACGGCCACACUGGAACUGAGACACGGUCCAGACACCUACGGGUGGCUG